CCCUUAGAUGUUCUGGGCUGCACGCGCGCGACAAUGACGUUUGCAACGAGAUUGCGAGGCCGUCAGGUCGAGCUGAUCUUGCAAGCUGCGUCGUGAUAGGGACAGUCGAUUGCAAUUAUUCGACUCGAACGAGGAAUUCCUUGUAAUCGCGCAUCAUCAGUGCGCGCUGAAUACGUCCCUGCCCUUUGUACACACCGCCCGUCGCUACUACUGAUUGGGUGUUCAAGUGAGAUGCUUAGACCCUUGUUGCAUGGUUCAUUAUUGUGCUCCGAAAGGAAAAAGUUUCAAGCUUGAGUGUCUAGAGGAAGUAAAAGUCGUAACA
This 322-nucleotide ribosomal RNA is filed under the name uncultured eukaryote. Its description in RNAcentral is "partial 18S ribosomal RNA". It matches the Rfam family "Eukaryotic small subunit ribosomal RNA", at positions 1470 to 1796 of the family's 1831-position model. The record is from RNAcentral.